This 721-nucleotide ribosomal RNA is filed under the name Paenibacillus sp. 879(2010). Its description in RNAcentral is "bacterial SSU rRNA". It matches the Rfam family "Bacterial small subunit ribosomal RNA", at positions 61 to 762 of the family's 1533-position model. The record is from RNAcentral. Lineage: Bacteria; Bacillati; Bacillota; Bacilli; Caryophanales; Paenibacillaceae.
GUCGAGCGGGGUUGUGUAGAAGCUUGCUUCUACAUAACCUAGCGGCGGACGGGUGAGUAACACGUAGGCAACCUGCCCACAAGACAGGGAUAACUACCGGAAACGGUAGCUAAUACCCGAUACAUCCUUUUCCUGCAUGGGAGAAGGAGGAAAGACGGAGCAAUCUGUCACUUGUGGAUGGGCCUGCGGCGCAUUAGCUAGUUGGUGGGGUAAAGGCCUACCAAGGCGACGAUGCGUAGCCGACCUGAGAGGGUGAUCGGCCACACUGGGACUGAGACACGGCCCAGACUCCUACGGGAGGCAGCAGUAGGGAAUCUUCCGCAAUGGGCGAAAGCCUGACGGAGCAACGCCGCGUGAGUGAUGAAGGUUUUCGGAUCGUAAAGCUCUGUUGCCAGGGAAGAACGUCUUGUAGAGUAACUGCUACAAGAGUGACGGUACCUGAGAAGAAAGCCCCGGCUAACUACGUGCCAGCAGCCGCGGUAAUACGUAGGGGGCAAGCGUUGUCCGGAAUUAUUGGGCGUAAAGCGCGCGCAGGCGGCUCUUUAAGUCUGGUGUUUAAUCCCGAGGCUCAACUUCGGGUCGCACUGGAAACUGGGGAGCUUGAGUGCAGAAGAGGAGAGUGGAAUUCCACGUGUAGCGGUGAAAUGCGUAGAGAUGUGGAGGAACACCAGUGGCGAAGGCGACUCUCUGGGCUGUAACUGACGCUGAGGCGCGAAAGCGU